Molecule: ribosomal RNA, 2699 nt
Filed under: Radix auricularia
Lineage: Eukaryota; Metazoa; Mollusca; Gastropoda; Lymnaeidae
Description: bacterial LSU rRNA
Rfam family: Bacterial large subunit ribosomal RNA
Source: RNAcentral
GAGAAGGUAUCUAAUGGAUUCCUAGACAUUAAGAAGCGAAGAAGGACGCUAAUAUGCGAUAAAGCACAAUGAGUUAAACGUAGAUUUGUGCAUCUCCGAAUGGGGCAACCCAUUGUUUAUAAACAAUAUCCUGCAGAGAAUAAAAUAUUUGCAGGAAGCGAACCUGGUGAAUUGAAACAUCUUAGUAACCAGAGGAAAAGAAAUCAAUAGAGAUUUUGUUAGUAGCGGCGAGCGAAACCAAAACAGUCUUACUUUCCUUGGAAAGUAACUGCAAUUAGUGCGUCAGAAUAAAUAUCUGGAAAGAUAUGCCAUAGUUUGUGAUAGCCAAGUAUUUGAAAACACACUGACUGCAGACCAAGUAGGCGCCUUAAACCCGGCGUUGAAGAAGGGUGAUCCAUCAUCCAAGACUAAAUAUUACUUAAUGAUCAAUAGUGAAAAGUACCGUGAGGGAAAGGUGAAAUAGUGUGUGAAUAACACAAUGAAAAUACAUGAAAUUAGAAUACCGACAAGAAGGUACGGCACCCUAAGUGGUGUUGUAUUGUACCUUUUGCAUAAGGAGCCAACAACUUAAUUUAUAUGGUGAGCUUAAGUUCCUAUUUGGAACGCAGGCGCAGUGAAAGCGAGUCUUAAAUGGACGUAAAUCAUAUGGAUUAGACCCGAAAGUAAGUGAGCUAUUUAUGAGCAGGUUGAAGUAUUAGAUAAUAUCUAAAUGGAGGACCGAACCCGUGAUUGUUGCAAUAAUCUGGGAUGACUUGUGAAUAGGAGUGAAAGGCUAAACAAACUUACAUAUAGCUGGUUCUCUGCGAAAAUUAUUUAGGUAAUGCGUCAUGUGGUGUGGUGAAGGGGUAAAGCACUGAUUUGAAAUUGGCCCGAAAGGGUGCGGUUUCUAGAUAAACUCUGAAUACUUCAUUUAACUAGCAUGGCAGGCGGACUGCGGGUGACAAGAUCAGUAGUCGAGAGGUAAAUAGACCAGACCUCAGAAUAAGGUCCCAAAAUUAUUAUUAAGUCAAAAGAAUGUCAUACUUCUAAGACAAUCAAAAUGUAGGCUUGGAAGCAGCCAUCAUUUAAAGAAAGCGUAAAAGCUCAUUGAUAUAUGUCGUAUGGCUUCAAAGAUGUAGAGGGAUUAAAAUAAUAUACCGAAUUCGAGGAAUCGUGUUUUUAAGCACGGUUGGUAGCAGAGCGUUCUGUAAGCCUGUGAAGGAGUACCUGCGAGGGGCUCUGGAGGUAUCAGAAGUGAAAAUGUUGGCAUGAGUAACUAUAAAAUACGUUAAAUUCGUAUUCGCCGUAAACCCAAGAUUUCCCAAUAAUAGACAAACGUAUUGGGGUUAGUCGAUCCCUAAGGAGAGAGCGAAAGCUGUAUCCGAUGGAAAAUCAGGUUAAUAUUCCUGAACUAAGUGUGGAAAAAAUGUAGAAACAGAAAGUAUAAAUCAAAACUAUUUUAUGCAAUCGAAAGUCUAUACUGGAAAAGAUCACACAUUUGAUAAUCGUAUUAUAAUCCGACACAGGUGGGUGGGCAUAGUAUGCUAAGGCGUUAAGAUAAUGAUGUUAAAGGAAUUCGGCAAAUUGCCUCUGUAACGUAUGGAAAAAGAGGCCCUUGUCCAGGGCAACCUGGCUGAGGGGACACAAAAUCGGAGAUAGCGACUGUUUAUCAAAAACACAGGACCCUGCAAAAUCGUAAGAUGACGUAUAGGGUCUGAGACCUGCCCGGUGUUCUGAGGUCAAAAGUGAUUGUGUAUAGCUCUCACUAUAAGCCAGAAUAAACGGCGGCGAUAACUAUAAUCGUCCUAAGGUAGCGAAAUUCAUUGUCACAUAAUUGGUGACCUGCAUGAAUGGUUUAACGACUGUCUCGCUGUCUUUAACAUCAACUUAGUGAAAUUUAAUUCUCCGUGCAAAUGCGGAGUUCCCGUGGUUAGACGAAAAGUCCCUAAUACCUUUACUAUAAUUUUGUAUUGGUUGGGGAAUGUGUGUACGCAGGAUAGGGAGGAGACUUUGAGGUUGCGAUUUCGGUUGCAACUGAGUCGACAGUGAGAUACUUCCUAUACACAUUUCCUGAUCUAAUUUGACAUCAUGAAGCUGGUGCAAAGACAGUGCAUGAGAGGUAGUUUUGCUGGGGCGGCAACCUCCUAAAGAGUAACGGAGGUGCGCAAAGGUGGGUUCAGCUUGUGUAGUAAGCAAGCUUCGAGCGUAACAGUAUAUACCCGCUUGACUGAGAGGCGGACAUGCCGAUCAGAAACGAAAGUUGGCUGUAGUGAUCCCAUGAAUCUUAAUGGUAAGUUCAUGGCUCAACGGAUAAAAGGUACAUUAGGGAUAACAGGCUAAUCUCCUCUGAGAGACCACAUCGAUGAGGAGGUUUGGUACCUCAAACUGGGGCUGCACAAUAGUGAUAUUGUGUGAAAGAAUUUGGCUGUAUGCUGGAAUAUCUGUGCUGCAUUGCGACAAUAGCAGCUUUAAGGUUACGAGUACUUACGAAAGUAAGUAAUAAUCUCGUAAAUACAGACAAUCAGCAGGGAAGUUUACUAUAAUUAAAUAUAGUAUAACCCCUCAACGACUAUACGCCAAAGUUGUCCAAAAAACAAUAUGAUAUAGUCUAUACUGCAUAGAGAUAUGCAGUGGUAUUAUUUGAAUUUAAAAUGCAAAAGAAAUUAUCGAGUAGCGUAAAUUCAUUAAAACCGUCUAACUUACAAAUAGAAGUACUAAUC